ACGCUCGACACCUACAGGAGGCAGCAGUAGGGAAUCUUCCACAAUGGACGCAAGUCUGAUGGAGCAACGCCGCGUGAGUGAAGAAGGUUUUCGGAUCGUAAAGCUCUGUUGUUGGUGAAGAAGGAUAGAGGUAGUAACUGGCCUUUAUUUGACGGUAAUCAACCAGAAAGUCACGGCUAACUACGUGCCAGUAGCCGCGGUAAUCUGAGCGGGCUGGCAAGGC
This 223-nucleotide ribosomal RNA is filed under the name uncultured bacterium. RNAcentral describes it as "partial 16S ribosomal RNA". It matches the Rfam family "Bacterial small subunit ribosomal RNA", at positions 328 to 539 of the family's 1533-position model. The record is from RNAcentral.